AGUUUGAUCCUGGUCAGAACGAACGCUGGCGGCGUGCCUAAUACAUGCAAGUCGAGCGGACAGAUGGGAGCUUGCUCCCUGAUGUUAGCGGCGGACGGGUGAGUAACACGUGGGUAACCUGCCUGUAAGACUGGGAUAACUCCGGGAAACCGGGGCUAAUACCGGAUGGUUGUUUGAACCGCAUGGUUCAAACAUAAAAGGUGGCUUCGGCUACCACUUACAGAUGGACCCGCGGCGCAUUAGCUAGUUGGUGAGGUAAUGGCUCACCAAGGCAACGAUGCGUAGCCGACCUGAGAGGGUGAUCGGCCACACUGGGACUGAGACACGGCCCAGACUCCUACGGGAGGCAGCAGUAGGGAAUCUUCCGCAAUGGACGAAAGUCUGACGGAGCAACGCCGCGUGAGUGAUGGAGGUUUUCGGAUCGUAAAGCUCUGUUGUUAGGGAAGAACAAGUACCGUUCGAAUAGGGCGGUCCUUGACGUACCUACCAGAAAGCCACGGCUAACUACGUGCCAGCAGCCGCGGCAAUACGUAGGUGGCAAGGUUGUCCGGAAUUAUUGGGCGUAAAGGGCUCGCAGGCGGUUUCUUAAGUCUGAUGUGAAAGCCCCCGGCUCAACCGGGGAGGGUCAUUGGAAACUGGGGAACUUGAGUGCAGAAGAGGAGAGUGGAAUUCCACGUGUAGCGGUGAAAUGCGUANAGAUGUGGAGGAACACCAGUGGCGAAGGCGACUCUCUGGUCUGUAACUGACGCUGAGGAGCGAAAGCAUGGGGAGCGAACAGGAUUAGAUACCCUGGUAGUCCACGCCGUAAACGAUGAGUGCUAAGUGUUAGGGGGUUUCCGCCCCUUAGUGCUGCAGCUAACGCAUUAAGCACUCCGCCUGGGGAGUACGGUCGCAAGACUGAAACUCAAAGGAAUUGACGGGGGCCCGCACAAGCGGUGGGGCAUGUGGUUUAAUUCGAAGCAACGCGAAGAACCUUACCAGGUCUUGACAUCCUCUGACAAUCCUGGAGAUAGGACGUCCCCUUCGGGGGCAGAGUGACAGGUGGUGCAUGGUUGUCGUCAGCUCGUGUCGUGAGAUGUUGGGUUAAGUCCCGCAACGAGCGCAACCCUUGAUCUUAGUUGCCAGCAUUUAGUUGGGCACUCUAAGGUGACUGCCGGUGACAAACCGGAGGAAGGUGGGGAUGACGUCAAAUCAUCAUGCCCCUUAUGACCUGGGCUACACACGUGCUACAAUGGACAGAACAAAGGGCAGCGAAACCGCGAGGUUAAGCCAAUCCCACAAAUCUGUUCUCAGUUCGGAUCGCAGUCAGCAACUCGACUGCGUGAAGCUGGAAUCGCUAGUAAUCACGGAUCAGCAUGCCGCGGUGAAUACGUUCCCGGGCCUUGUACACACCGCCCGUCACACCACGAGAGUUUGUAACACCCGAAGUCGGUGAGGUAACCUUUUAGGAGCCAGCCGCCGAAGGUGGGACAGAUGAUUGGGGUGAAGUCUAACAAGGUAGCCGUA
This 1506-nucleotide ribosomal RNA is filed under the name Bacillus subtilis. RNAcentral's name for it is "16S ribosomal RNA". It matches the Rfam family "Bacterial small subunit ribosomal RNA". Lineage: Bacteria; Bacillati; Bacillota; Bacilli; Caryophanales; Bacillaceae. The record is from RNAcentral.